RNAcentral lists this ribosomal RNA (338 nucleotides) under uncultured Pseudomonas sp. Its description in RNAcentral is "bacterial SSU rRNA". It matches the Rfam family "Bacterial small subunit ribosomal RNA", at positions 1046 to 1382 of the family's 1533-position model. The record is from RNAcentral. Lineage: Bacteria; Pseudomonadati; Pseudomonadota; Gammaproteobacteria; Pseudomonadales; Pseudomonadaceae.
UGGCGUGUCGUCAGCUCGUGUCGUGAGAUGGUUGGGUUAACGUCCGUAACGAGCGCAACCUGUCCUUAGUUACCAGCACGUUAUGGUGGGCACUCUAAGGAGACUGCCGGUGACAAACCGGAGGAAGGUGGGGAUGACGUCAAGUCAUCAUGGCCCUUACGGCCUGGGCUACACACGUGCUACAAUGGUCGGUACAAAGGGUUGCCAAGCCGCGAGGUGGAGCUAAUCCCAUAAAACCGAUCGUAGUCCGGAUCGCAGUCUGCAACUCGACUGCGUGAAGUCGGAAUCGCUAGUAAUCGUGAAAUCAGAAUGUCACGGUGAAUACGUUCCCGGGCCUU